Long non-coding RNA from Bacillus rossius redtenbacheri, 984 nucleotides. RefSeq lists it as uncharacterized. The transcript is spliced from 6 exons. NCBI's taxonomy places the organism in Eukaryota, Metazoa, Arthropoda, Insecta, Phasmatodea, Bacillidae. The record is from RefSeq and is a predicted model, not a curated record.
AUAUUGUACCUUUUGUCUAUGAUUGUUGUUAAGUUUUAAAUAUUUGGCGGAGAGAAUGUUUGUGUCGUUUUGUAAUUGACUGGUGCUAAGAAAAUUAGCUGACAUUUUAUUAAAAUAUAACGAACAUUGUUCCGACUAAAUUCAAAAUUUUUCCCUCAAAAUUCAAAUUAAUACAUAUUCACAUUAUGUCUACAGAAGUGAAACCUUGUUUUUGCUCAUACCAGUUGAUUGGUGACAGUUUGUUGCUGAGAUUUGCGGAACAGCUUCUUGAAGAGCGGGCUCAAUACUCCUCAGGACUCAGAUUUUUGGGACUUUGUGUCAGUGGGCAGACUAUUAAACAGUUGAAGAAAAGAAUUAAGGAAGGAUUCUAUCCUGUCUCAAGCAAUGCAGUGCUUUUAAUUGGCACUAAUGACUUUUUGAAGAAAACCCCUCUCAAAGAUAUGACAAGAAGAAUGAUGAAAAUUGUGACCCUGUUGAAGAAACGUGCAAAAAGGAUUGUGGUUCUGACCGUGCCUCCUGUUCCAAGAUUGGCUCACAAGCCAGAUCAUUGGAAGGAUUUGGAAAACUUCAACAAUUUUAUUAUGUCUCUUCCAAGAAAAAAUGAGUGUGUGAAGGUGGCUGACAUCAGUUCUUUGUUCAAGAGAAACAUGGUAUGCAAAUUACAGUUUUUCGAGAAGUACUUCAGCAUCGGCAGAAGGAAAGACAUGAUUCAUUUAAACAGAGAGGGCUUGGAAGAGAUAAAAAAAUUUCUUGUUGACAAGAAAUUGGUGUGAUGAAAUAUUAACCGUACCUUUUCCGAACUACACUAAAUGUUUUGACUGACAUGCAUUGUAAGGCAUGCAUAUGACUAACUUUGUGCCUUAUUAUUUAAUGUUGAAUGUACUAACAAACUGGUACAUACCAUGUGAAGUGUUUCAUGUUAUAGCAAUUCAUGUAUUUAUUAUUUAUGCAUUUAUUAAAUAUACAGAAUUCAUUGUAUUUUUA